This 17-nucleotide transfer RNA is filed under the name Natrix natrix (European grass snake). RNAcentral describes it as "partial transfer RNA-Leu". The record is from RNAcentral. Lineage: Eukaryota; Metazoa; Chordata; Lepidosauria; Squamata; Natricidae.
UCUACCAAAGGAUAAUA